This 465-nucleotide ribosomal RNA is filed under the name Vreelandella stevensii. RNAcentral's name for it is "partial 16S ribosomal RNA". It matches the Rfam family "Bacterial small subunit ribosomal RNA", at positions 338 to 795 of the family's 1533-position model. Lineage: Bacteria; Pseudomonadati; Pseudomonadota; Gammaproteobacteria; Oceanospirillales; Halomonadaceae. The record is from RNAcentral.
CCUACGGGGGGCUGCAGUGGGGAAUAUUGGACAAUGGGGGCAACCCUGAUCCAGCCAUGCCGCGUGUGUGAAGAAGGCCCUCGGGUUGUAAAGCACUUUCAGUGAGGAAGAACGCCUGGUGGUUAAUACCCAUCAGGAAAGACAUCACUCACAGAAGAAGCACCGGCUAACUCCGUGCCAUCAGCCGCGGUAAUACGGAGGGUGCGAGCGUUAAUCGGAAUUACUGGGCGUAAAGCGCGCGUAGGUGGCUUGAUAAGCCGGUUGUGAAAGCCCCGGGCUCAACCUGGGAACGGCAUCCGGAACUGUCAAGCUAGAGUGCAGGAGAGGAAGGUAGAAUUCCCGGUGUAGCGGUGAAAUGCGUAGAGAUCGGGAGGAAUACCAGUGGCGAAGGCGGCCUUCUGGACUGACACUGACACUGAGGUGCGAAAGCGUGGGUAGCAAACAGGAUUAGAUACCCGUGUAGUC